Long non-coding RNA from Stegostoma tigrinum, 322 nucleotides. RefSeq lists it as uncharacterized. The transcript is spliced from 3 exons. The record is from RefSeq and is a predicted model, not a curated record. NCBI's taxonomy places the organism in Eukaryota, Metazoa, Chordata, Chondrichthyes, Orectolobiformes, Stegostomatidae.
AGUAGGGAUGCCUUAAAAAAAUGAGCAAACCGAAGAAUUUUCUGGAUUACUGCCAGGGUCAAAGUCACUGACGAACAGUAUGCUUGGUUGAUCAAGCAAUAGAUGAGGCCAAGAAGAGAGCUCUAAAAUGAGGGGCUUCACAGAAUUGACAUAUCCUGUCUUUCUGCUGACAAUCAAAAUGAUCCAGAAAAGAUCUGGGAAGAUCUCGAUGACCUGCUCAAGGAAUGUUGCAAUUGAAAGAGGAUCUCACAUUGAGAAACCUAUCCAGGCAAUAGUAGAAAGUGAAACCGGAAAAUGGCACAAGGCAGUGAUGGGAACAGAA